GAUGAACGCUGGCGGCGUGCCUAAUACAUGCAAGUCGAGCGAACAGACGAGGAGCUUGCUCCUCUGACGUUAGCGGCGGACGGGUGAGUAACACGUGGAUAACCUACCUAUAAGACUGGGAUAACUUCGGGAAACCGGAGCUAAUACCGGAUAAUAUAUUGAACCGCAUGGUUCAAUAGUGAAAGACGGUUUUGCUGUCACUUAUAGAUGGAUCCGCGCCGCAUUAGAUAGUUGGUAAGGUAACGGCUUACCAAGGCAACGAUGCGUAGCCGACCUGAGAGGGGGAUCGUCCACACUGGAACUGAGACACGGUCCAGACUCCUACGGGAGGCAGCAGUAGGGAAUCUUCCGCAAUGGGCGAAAGCCUGACGGAGCAACGCCGCGUGAGUGAUGAAGGUCUUCGGAUCGUAAAACUCUGUUAUUAGGGAAGAACAAAUGUGUAAGUAACUAUGCACGUCUUGACGGUACCUAAUCAGAAAGCCACGGCUAACUACUUG
RNAcentral lists this ribosomal RNA (497 nucleotides) under uncultured bacterium. RNAcentral's name for it is "partial 16S ribosomal RNA". It matches the Rfam family "Bacterial small subunit ribosomal RNA", at positions 28 to 507 of the family's 1533-position model. The record is from RNAcentral.